RNAcentral lists this unclassified non-coding RNA (284 nucleotides) under Hevea brasiliensis (rubber tree). Lineage: Eukaryota; Viridiplantae; Streptophyta; Magnoliopsida; Malpighiales; Euphorbiaceae. The record is from RNAcentral.
AUCCAUAUAAUAUCAUUGUAAAAACAGCAAACUAAUAUUGAGUUGAUAUUCAUCAGAGGUUUCGGUGUUCUGCAGUUCCAUAAGCAAACUAAUUGGGCUUGAUUUUAAAAAAUGAUGGCACCCAACACAAGGCCACCAGCAUUGUUCAAUUAAUGUCAAAAGCUUUUUAUUUAAAACAUAAAAGGAACAUCAAAAGAAAAUCCCACCAAAUUCAAAAUUCAAAACUUCCAAAAUAAAAAAGAAAUGUGCAAAACAGAUUGAAAGAAAACAUACCUGCAUCUUGG